Molecule: ribosomal RNA, 486 nt
Filed under: Neurigona pectinata
Lineage: Eukaryota; Metazoa; Arthropoda; Insecta; Diptera; Dolichopodidae
Description: partial 16S ribosomal RNA
Rfam family: Bacterial large subunit ribosomal RNA
Source: RNAcentral
CUGAUUUUUAUUAAAUGGCCGCAGUAUCCUAACUGUGCAAAGGUAGCAUAAUCAUUAGUUUUUUAAUUGAAAGCUUGUAUGAAUGAUUGGACGAGAUAUUAGCUGUCUCAUUAAAAUAUUUUGAAUUUUAUUUUUUAGUCAAAAAGCUAAAAUAAUUUUAAAAGACGAGAAGACCCUAUAGAUCUUUAUAAUUUAAUUUUUAAUAUUUUUUUAGCUUAAUUAUUAUAUUAUAAAUUAAAUUAUUUUGUUGGGGUGACAAUGAAAUUUAUAUAACUUUUGUUAUUUUUAAAACAUAAAUUAAUGAAUAAUUGAUCCUUUAUUAUAGAUUAAAAAUUUAAGUUACCUUAGGGAUAACAGCGUAAUUAUUUUGGAGAGUUCAUAUCAAUAAAAUAGAUUGCGACCUCGAUGUUGGAUUAAGAUUAAUUUUUGGUGCAGAAGCUAAAAAUAUUAAGUCUGUUCGACUUUUAAUUUCUUACAUGAUCUGAG